This 69-nucleotide transfer RNA is filed under the name Triatoma huehuetenanguensis. RNAcentral describes it as "tRNA-Lys". Lineage: Eukaryota; Metazoa; Arthropoda; Insecta; Hemiptera; Reduviidae. RNAcentral also lists the same sequence under 1 other name. The record is from RNAcentral.
CAUUAAGUGACUGAAAGUAAGUAAUGGUCUCUUAAACCAGUAUAUGGUAGCUAACAUUUACCCUUAAUG